UUUCAUCCAGCCAAGCGAGGCGGGAGGGCGCUGCGCCCUUCGCGGGGCUCCGCUGGGGGGCAGCGGGGAGCCCGGGGGGAGCCCCGCGGCCAUCUCGCCCUACGCCCCGGGGGAGGAAAGGAGGACCCCGGGGUCGUGCUCCGGGGCCGUGCUGUGGGGCAGGCAGCCCUCCCCGAGCCCCCGGCCGGGCUCCUGAGGCAGCACGCCGCCCCGCCAGCCCAGGUGCGGCCGCCUCCGGAGGGAGGGAAGGGGAGGGAAGGGAGCGGAGCGCCGCGGGCGCGGCUCGCCGGGGAGCAGCGCGGGGGUGGGGUGGGGUGUGGAGGCAGGCAGGAAGGAAGGAAGGAAGGAGAAAACGAGCGAGCAGGGGGAGAGGAGGGAGCCCAAGCGGCCAGCAGGCCCUCUCCUCCUUCCCCUCCGCGGCUGCUCGUCGCCAGGAGGCACGGGCUUCUCGUUAAGCUGCCUGCGAGUUUUACCGGACGGUGCGUGAAGCUCGCAGUGGCGGAGUGUAACAGCGCUGGGAUGCCCUUACUGAUCGGAGAGGCAGAGCCGGGACGUGGCACCCCCGUGUUGCCGCAGCAACUCGCCGCAGUGCGCCCGGCCGGUGCCGCCCCGCUGCGCGCCGCGCUCCCGACGCCGCGAGUUGCUCCACAGGAAUUUCUGGCGGCGUGAGCCUCCGCUCCGAGGCGGCGAAGGUGGCUGAGCUUUCCUCUGAAACAGAAGCCUUCCGAAAUAAAAAAAUAAAAUAAAGUAAAAUAAUAAUAAAA
RNAcentral lists this long non-coding RNA (764 nucleotides) under Anser brachyrhynchus (Pink-footed goose). RNAcentral's name for it is "lncRNA (ENSABRG00000013313.1)". Lineage: Eukaryota; Metazoa; Chordata; Aves; Anseriformes; Anatidae. The record is from RNAcentral.